UACAGAGGUCCCAAGCGUUGUUCGGAUUCACUGGGCGUAAAGGGUGCGUAGGCGGGUUUUUAAGUCAGGGGUGAAAUCCUGGAGCUCAACUCCAGAACUGCCUUUGAUACUGAAGAUCUUGAGUCCGGGAGAGGUGAGUGGAACUGCGAGUGUAGAGGUGAAAUUCGUAGAUAUUCGCAAGAACACCAGUGGCGAAGGCGGCUCACUGGCCCGGUACUGACGCUGAGGCACGAAAGCGUGGGGAGCAAACAGG
RNAcentral lists this ribosomal RNA (253 nucleotides) under uncultured bacterium. RNAcentral's name for it is "partial 16S ribosomal RNA". It matches the Rfam family "Bacterial small subunit ribosomal RNA", at positions 524 to 776 of the family's 1533-position model. The record is from RNAcentral.